This 468-nucleotide ribosomal RNA is filed under the name uncultured bacterium. Its description in RNAcentral is "partial 16S ribosomal RNA". It matches the Rfam family "Bacterial small subunit ribosomal RNA", at positions 28 to 507 of the family's 1533-position model. The record is from RNAcentral.
GACGAACGCUGGCGGCGUGCUUAACACAUGCAAGUCGAACGGAAAGGCCCUGCUUUUGUGGGGUGCUCGAGUGGCGAACGGGUGAGUAACACGUGAGUAACCUGCCCUUGACUUUGGGAUAACUUCAGGAAACUGGGGCUAAUACCGGAUAGGAGCUCCUGCUGCAUGGUGGGGGUUGGAGAGUUUCGGCGGUUGGGGAUGGACUCGCGGCUUAUCGGCUUGUUGGUGGGGUAGUGGCUUACCAAGGCUUUGACGGGUAGCCGGCCUGAGAGGGUGACCGGCCACAUUGGGACUGAGAUACGGCCCAGACUCCUACGGGAGGCAGCAGUGGGGAAUAUUGCACAAUGGGCGGAAGCCUGAUGCAGCAACGCCGCGUGCGGGAUGACGGCCUUCGGGUUGUAAACCGCUUUCGCCUGUGACGAAGCGUGAGUGACGGUAAUGGGUAAAGAAGCACCGGCUAACUACGUG